RNAcentral lists this ribosomal RNA (399 nucleotides) under uncultured bacterium. RNAcentral's name for it is "bacterial SSU rRNA". It matches the Rfam family "Bacterial small subunit ribosomal RNA", at positions 29 to 414 of the family's 1533-position model. The record is from RNAcentral.
AACGAACGCUGGCGGCGUACUUAACACAUGCAAGUCGGACGAGAAAGGAGACUUCGGUCUCUGAGUAAAGUGGCGUACGGGUGCGUAACACGUAAGUAAUCUACCCCGAACUCUGGGAUAACUCUCCGAAAGGAGGGCUAAGACUGGAUGGGUCCCUGAGGUGUAGGCUGCAGGGGGAAAACGGGCCCUGUUUCAUGCUCGUGGUUUGGGAUGAGCUUGCGGCCCAUUAGCUUGUUGGUAGGGUAAGGCCUACCAAGGCAACGAUGGGUAGCUGGUCUGAGAGGAUGAUCAGCCACACUGGCACUGAGACACGGGCCAGACUCCUACGGGAGGCAGCAGUGGGGAAUUUUGCGCAAUGGGCGAAAGCCUGACGCAGUAACGCCGCGUGGAGGAUGAAGG